ACAAAAACAAAAAACCGCACCCAGACCAGUAAUAUAAUAUAGCUUUGGGCCUGGUCAAUCCAAAGAGUCACAGACUUCAUGCUUGGUGAUUCACACCUGUAAUCCCAGAGCUCAGGAAGCAGGCGGAGCACAAGUUCAAGUUCCUCUACAGUUCUACCCCAUUGACUGACCCGCAGACCGAGUCACCUGGCACCCAACAUGGGGCAGAGAGAACGAGAGACCCCAUGAGGGACAUUACUGGAAGAAGGAUCGACCAAGCAGGAACCUGCCUCAUUGAGACCAAUGAAUCAUAGUAACGAAAAUGGGCCAAGAAAUAAGUGAUGAGGGAAAUUUUAGUUUCUCCAAUGCUUGGACAUACCUGGUUAUAUUAAACAGUUUGUCAUAAUCGUA
Molecule: long non-coding RNA, 390 nt
Organism: Mus musculus (house mouse)
Lineage: Eukaryota; Metazoa; Chordata; Mammalia; Rodentia; Muridae
Product: predicted gene, 41432
Exons: 2
Source: RefSeq, a predicted model, not a curated record